GACGAACGCUGGCGGCGUGCUUAACACAUGCAAGUCGAACGGAAAGGCCCCUUUGGGGGUACUCGAGUGGCGAACGGGUGAGUAACACGUGAGUAACCUGCCCUUGACUUCGGGAUAACUUCCGGAAACUGGGGCUAAUACCGGAUAGGAAUCCUUUCUGCAUGGUGGGGGUUGGAAAGCUUCGGCGGUUUUGGAUGGACUCGCGGCUUAUCUGCUUGUUUGUGGGGUAGUGGCUUAUCAAGGCUUUGACGGGUAGCCGGCCUGAGAGGGCGAGCGGCCACAUUGGGACUGAGAUGCGGCCCAGACUACUACGGGACGGAGCAGUGGGGAAGAUUGCACAAUGGGCGGAAGCAUGAUGCAGAAACGCCGCGUGCGGGAGGACGGGCUUCGGGUUGGAAACCGAUUUCAGCAGGGGCGAAGCUUGUGGUGACGGUACCUGCAGAAGAAGCACCGGCUAACUACGUG
RNAcentral lists this ribosomal RNA (465 nucleotides) under uncultured bacterium. Its description in RNAcentral is "partial 16S ribosomal RNA". It matches the Rfam family "Bacterial small subunit ribosomal RNA", at positions 28 to 507 of the family's 1533-position model. The record is from RNAcentral.